This 233-nucleotide ribosomal RNA is filed under the name uncultured bacterium. RNAcentral's name for it is "partial 16S ribosomal RNA". It matches the Rfam family "Bacterial small subunit ribosomal RNA", at positions 57 to 305 of the family's 1533-position model. The record is from RNAcentral.
GCAAGUCGAACGAGAAAGUACCUUCGGGUGCGAGUAGAGUGGCGGACGGGUGAGUAACGCGUGGGAAUCUGCCUUAUAGUGGGGGACAACAAUCGGAAACGGUUGCUAAUACCGCAUACGCCCUACGGGGGAAAGACUUCGGUCGCUAUUAGAUGAGCCCGCGUAAGAUUAGCUUGUUGGUAGGGUAAUGGCCUACCAAGGCGACGAUCUUUAGCUGGUCUGAGAGGACGAUC